GCUGGUGUAAAUGAUGACUUCACUUUUUUCCCCAUCAGAUCGACAAUGUUGAUGUGUUUGAAUAACUUGCCAGUUAAUUCUGAUAGACCAGC
Molecule: small nucleolar RNA, 92 nt
Organism: Choloepus didactylus (southern two-toed sloth)
Lineage: Eukaryota; Metazoa; Chordata; Mammalia; Pilosa; Megalonychidae
Product: small nucleolar SNORD12/SNORD106
Exons: 1
Source: RefSeq, a predicted model, not a curated record